RNAcentral lists this ribosomal RNA (515 nucleotides) under uncultured bacterium. RNAcentral's name for it is "bacterial SSU rRNA". It matches the Rfam family "Bacterial small subunit ribosomal RNA", at positions 109 to 656 of the family's 1533-position model. The record is from RNAcentral.
AGUAACACGUGAAUUAUCUACCUUCGAGUGGGGAAUAACUGAGAGAAAUCUUAGCUAAUACCGCAUAAUACCUACGGGUCAAAGCAGCAAUGCGCUUGAAGAGGAGUUCGCGGCAGAUCAGUUAGUUGGCGGGGUAAUGGCCCACCAAGACGAUGAUCGAUAUCCGGCCUGAGAGGGCGCACGGACACACUGGAACUGAAACACGGUCCAGACUCCUACGGGAGGCAGCAGUGGGGAAUUUUGCGCAAUGGGGGAAACCCUGACGCAGCAACGCCGCGUGGAGGAUGAAGCCCCUUGGGGCGUAAACUCCUUUCGAUAGGGAAGAUAAUGACGGUACCUAUAGAAGAAGCCCCGGCUAACUUCGUGCCAGCAGCCGCGGUAAUACGAGGGGGGCAAGCGUUGUUCGGAAUUAUUGGGCGUAAAGGGUGCGUAGACGGUUUGGUAAGUCUUGUGUGAAAUCUUCGGGCUCAACUCGAAGUCUGGACGAGAAACUGGCGGGCUUGAGUAUGGGAGAG